Molecule: ribosomal RNA, 110 nt
Filed under: Escherichia coli
Lineage: Bacteria; Pseudomonadati; Pseudomonadota; Gammaproteobacteria; Enterobacterales; Enterobacteriaceae
Source: RNAcentral
GGCCGUAGCGCGGUGGUCCCACCUGACCCCAUGCCGAACUCAGAAGUGAAACGCCGUAGCGCCGAUGGUAGUGUGGGGUUUCCCCAUGCGAGAGUAGGGAACUGCCAGGC